UCAAUGCUGUAUUUAAGCCCCAGUUUAAGAGCUUGAUGUGUGGCUUUUUUUUUUUUUUUUUUUAAACUCUGAGAGAUGACUUCAAACAUUGCAAUGUCGUAGUCCAUAGGCCUCCGAUUCCUGAGUCCUCUCUGCUUAUGUGCAUUACUUAACAUUUACUCUCUUUAUUUCCUCCUUGUUUCAGAGCCAUCACACCCUGGCAAGGAGGAGCUGGUUUCCGUUCGGUCACUGCCACCUUGAAUGAAACUGCUCAUUUUUGAGACUGGAAAACCAUGUCAGUUGGUGACCCGCGAAACGGGAAGAACCAGCAACGUGUUGGGUCGAAGAGGGCUGUGGAGGCAGCUGGACGCGGCUGUUAAGGAACCGCAGCUGCUGUGCUUCUGCAACGAGGGUCAGCUAAGCCAUGUGGAGGCUGAUCUUGCUGGGAUAGUUGUUCCUGAAGACUGUGAUACGUGAGCCACAGGUUGUGUGGAUUGGGCCAAAUGAGGAACAAGGAACUUGGGAUCCCAAAAUACAAGAGUCAUGAUGUGGUUAUUCAAGAAUCGUGUUCCCUGAAUUACUUCAUAUAUAGAUAAGGCCUUUACAGGAAGGUUUUCAGAGAGGCCUGUGCAGGUAAGAACAGGUUACACUUUCUGCCUUCUCUACAACUAAGUAACGAAGCAAUGCCUGUCUGGCAAGAGUGACGUGAUGCAUUCAAGAGUCAAAGCAUAGUCUUUACAUGAUAUAAUACCCUUCCGAAUAGGACAGGCAGCCUCCUAAGAGCUACGACCUGUAAGAGCGCAUGCAACUGCCUUUAAAUAAAGAGCUGCUGGGGCGUCCAGCUAUUCAGGUCCAUCCCUAGCCUGCUCAAAUUGAAUUUGAUGCACUAAA
Long non-coding RNA from Alligator mississippiensis (American alligator), 870 nucleotides. RefSeq lists it as uncharacterized. Lineage: Eukaryota; Metazoa; Chordata; Crocodylia; Alligatoridae. The record is from RefSeq and is a predicted model, not a curated record. The transcript is spliced from 3 exons.